Molecule: ribosomal RNA, 482 nt
Filed under: uncultured bacterium
Lineage: Bacteria
Description: partial 16S ribosomal RNA
Rfam family: Bacterial small subunit ribosomal RNA
Source: RNAcentral
AUUGAACGCUGGCGGCAUGCCUUACACAUGCAAGUCGAACGGUAACGGGCCUUCGGGUGCCGACGAGUGGCGCACGGGUGCGUAUUACAUCGGAACGUGCCCGAUCGUGGGGGAUAACGAGGCGAAAGCUUUGCUAAUACCGCAUACGAUCUACGGAUGAAAGCAGGGGACCGCAAGGCCUUGCGCGGACGGAGCGGCCGAUGGCAGAUUAGGUAGUUGGUGGGAUAAAAGCUUACCAAGCCGACGAUCUGUAGCUGGUCUGAGAGGAUGAUCAGCCACACUGGGACUGAGACACGGCCCAGACUCCUACGGGAGGCAGCAGUGGGGAAUUUUGGACAAUGGGCGCAAGCCUGAUCCAGCCAUGCCGCGUGCAGGAUGAAGGCCUUCGGGUUGUAAACUGCUUUUGUACGGAACGAAAAGCCUUCUUUUAAUACAGGAGGGUCAUGACGGUACCGUAAGAAUAAGCACCGGCUAACUACGUG